CGUGUAGGCGGUUGGUCAAGUCUGAUGUGAAAGCCCGGGGCUCAGCUUCGGAAGGGCAUCGGAAACUAGCCAGCUGGAGCGCGAUAGAGGAGGGCGGAAUUCCUGGUGUAGCGGUGAAAUGCGUAGAUAUCAGGAGGAACACCGGCGGCGAAGGCGGCCCUCUGGAUCGUUGCUGACGCUGAGACGCGAAAGCGUGGGGAGCAAACA
Molecule: ribosomal RNA, 207 nt
Filed under: uncultured bacterium
Lineage: Bacteria
Description: partial 16S ribosomal RNA
Rfam family: Bacterial small subunit ribosomal RNA
Source: RNAcentral